AACGCUAGCUACAGGCUUAACACAUGCAAGUCGAGGGGCAGCAUGAACUUAGCUUGCUAAGUUUGAUGGCGACCGGCGCACGGGCGAGUAACACGUAUCCAACCUGCCGAUGACUCGGGGAUAGCCUUUCGAAAGAAAGAUUAAUACCCGAUGGCAUAGUUCUUCCGCAUGGUAGAACUAUUAAAGAAUUUCGGUCAUCGAUGGGGAUGCGUUCCAUUAGGUUGUUGGCGGGGUAACGGCCCACCAAGCCUUCGAUGGAUAGGGGUUCUGAGAGGAAGGUCCCCCACAUUGGAACUGAGACACGGUCCAAACUCCUACGGGAGGCAGCAGUGAGGAAUAUUGGUCAAUGGACGAGAGUCUGAACCAGCCAAGUAGCGUGAAGGAUGACUGCCCUAUGGGUUGUAAACUUCUUUUAUACGGGAAUAAAGUGAGGCACGUGUGCCUUUUUGUAUGUACCGUAUGAAUAAGGAUCGGCUAACUCCGUGCCAGCAGCCGCGGUAAUACGGAGGAUCCGAGCGUUAUCCGGAUUUAUUGGGUUUAAAGGGAGCGUAGGCGGACGCUUAAGUCAGUUGUGAAAGUUUGCGGCUCAACCGUAAAAUUGCAGUUGAUACUGGGUGUCUUGAGUACAGUAGAGGCAGGCGGAAUUCGUGGUGUAGCGGUGAAAUGCUUAGAUAUCACGAAGAACUCCGAUUG
RNAcentral lists this ribosomal RNA (693 nucleotides) under uncultured bacterium. RNAcentral describes it as "bacterial SSU rRNA". It matches the Rfam family "Bacterial small subunit ribosomal RNA", at positions 32 to 715 of the family's 1533-position model. The record is from RNAcentral.